Ochotona princeps (American pika) is the source of this 959-nucleotide long non-coding RNA. RefSeq lists it as uncharacterized. The transcript has 4 exons. The record is from RefSeq and is a predicted model, not a curated record. NCBI's taxonomy places the organism in Eukaryota, Metazoa, Chordata, Mammalia, Lagomorpha, Ochotonidae.
GCUUGUGAUGUUAGAAGCCACUUGACCGAGUUUUGUGAGGGGGCAAAGCGAUUUACACACGAAUGUCAAUAGCAUCUGCUCAUUGGUUUGCUUCAAAGAUUUUCCACCAAAUCCCAGCAAGGGUGAAGUAGUUGAAAUCUGGGUUUUGCUGCAGUGUGAAUCAUGUUUGCUUAGCCAGCUAUAUCGAAGAUUAGACACAUGCAUGAAGAAGACCGGGCAGCAGCAGAUGGAUUACAGAAUGGACACAGAAGGUAGAAACAGAUGGAGUACAGUGAACAUGAAAAUGAUUCACCUUGGAUAAGGUGAUUGAGUCAGGCACAUGAGCAGGAAUCUGUACGGAAGCAGAGUAGCUGGGGAUCCAAUCAAUGCUCUGAUAGGAAAUCUUGGCAUCUCAGGAUACAGAUGAGCCCAGGGAGCUGCUCCACCAAAUGCCAGACAAGAUAAGUAUUGUCUGUGUUCAUAUCCAUGUAUGUGUGUAUGUAUAUAUACAUAUAGGUACACUAGCUCACUCAAACACCUAACUUGUCAUCUUCCCUAAAUCAGAGGCAUUUUUCUGCAUUGAACUGUAUAAAAUUUAUUAUGAUAGGAUUUAUAGAUUAAUAUUCAGAGCCAGUGUUAAAAAUUUAAGAAUAUUCAGUGAUUUAUCCCUGUUUCUCUUCAUCCACAAUUCUUGAUACAAAGAGCAUGAAUGAUGUUAAAAGAUUAGGAAUAAUGCAGCCUGUACAGAAAUAGUCACAGCUGUGGCAGAGCAAGAAGAAGCAUGGAGAUCUGGAGUCAGAUAUAGAACUUAGGAGCUUAACGGAAAGCAGCUCUUACAAAUUGGUGAUGAGGAUGAGUGGGAAAAAGAAGGUAAGCAGUUUGACUUCAUACAGAUAAUGCUGUUUUUAAGAGAGCAGGUUCAAACUCUGUCAAAAGAAUCAAAAUAACUUGCAAAAUAGAUAAUUAUUGCUUACUGAAUA